CUCUCCAGCCCGAGAGAGGAAGCUGCUGGCCAAGGAUGCACUGAGGGAUCCCCCCCAAGCUUGCCGCCUCCCUGUUCAGAGCAAGAGUCUUAACCCCAGGCAACCAGAAAGGCGGGUCCUGCUGCAAACCCCGGAGUCAGGGGACCUCCCUCGGACACUCAGGAUGCAAUUUCCAUGGCCACGCAGCCCCAGCCCCCUCACGUCCCAGUUGAGACCGCUAAGCCUAGGGAAUCUGGGAGACCAGCUGGAAGAGGUGUCUCUGGAGCCCAGUCAUCGGUCUGGCUGCUUUCCCCUCGGUGGACAGGGACUUGGGCGAGCAGGGGGCACGAAGCUGAGCCCCUGAGGCUGGCCCGGAGAAGCAUGGGCAGGGACACUCACUCACAGCCAGCCUCUUUGGAGCCCAGGAAAGAGCGAUUCCUGGUUGGCCGUGCCCAGCCCCCAACGCUCAUCAUCGCUGCUAUUUCUUGAGUGCCAACAAUGUGCUGGGUGCCGCGCUUCACUUUUUAUACCCAAUGUCUUGCUUAACCCUUGCGCAGCUCUGUGAGACGGGGCCAAUCCCUCCACAGACUAGGGAACUCAAGAGACGUGCAUGGUGGCCUUCCCAGGUUGGCCAGUGGUCUCUGACCCAGCGCCUGCCCUCGCAGUCACUAUGCUAAGCUGCAGCCUGUGGUUCCCACUCAGCCCCUGUCCACUGUCAGAACCUGUGCCAAUCAAACCCAGAUCCCUGAGGGGCACCCUGUCUGCGGGCACUUGGACGCCCCCGCCGACCCUGACCUCCUGGAACUGCUGUCUGAGCCACAGGCGGUGGGGACGGGCCCUUGGACUGCCCCCCUGGAGUUUCACUCUUACCUCUGGCCACAAAGGCCAGAGCUCCCAGCAGGGGCCCCUAGGGUCUGGUGUGGUCUCACGCAACCUGUUUCUUCUGGUCAAGGACAUGGGUUUUUCCCAACAAUGCUGGGGAGUCAGGGAGGGAUGCAGCUGGGGUUCUGAUGGUUGUGGGUCAGACCUGGCUCCCUGAACGGCUCCCCCACCCCAUCAUGACAGAGGAAAUCUCACCAGCUGUGUCCGUGAGCAACCCUGACCCUGUUUCUCCAAUGCCUUUGUAGGAGUAUUU
This is a long non-coding RNA of Bos taurus (domestic cattle), 1114 nucleotides long. NCBI's taxonomy places the organism in Eukaryota, Metazoa, Chordata, Mammalia, Artiodactyla, Bovidae. The record is from Ensembl.